AGUGAGGAAUUUUCUGCAAUGGGCGAAAGCCUGACAGAGCAAUACCGCGUGAGGGAUGAAGGCCUAUGGGUUGUAAACCUCUUUUCUCAAGGAGGAAGAUAUGACGUUACUUGAGGAAUAAGCAUCGGCUAACCCUGUGCCAGCAGCCGCGGUAAUACAGGGGAUGCAAGUGUUAUCCGGAAUCAUUGGGCGUAAAGCGUCUGCAGGUUGACUUCUAAGUCUUUUGUUAAAGCUCUGGGCUUAACCUGGAAUACGCAAAGGAAACUAUCUGUCUUGAGUAUGGUAGAGGUAAAGGGAAUUUCCAGUGGAGCGGUGAAAUGCUUAGAUAUUGGAAAGAACACCAACAGCGAAGGCACUUUACUGGGCCAGUACUGACACUGAGAGACGAAAGCUAGGGGAGCAAACGGGAUUAGAUACCCCGGUAGUCCUAGCUGUAAACGAUGGAUACUAGAUGUUGUGCUUAAGAAAAAGUACAGUGUCGUAGCUAACGCGUUAAGUAUCCCGCCUGGGAAGUAUGCUCGCAAGAGUG
RNAcentral lists this ribosomal RNA (529 nucleotides) under uncultured bacterium. RNAcentral's name for it is "bacterial SSU rRNA". It matches the Rfam family "Bacterial small subunit ribosomal RNA", at positions 353 to 896 of the family's 1533-position model. The record is from RNAcentral.